AUGCUAUGAUGAGGGCACUUUUGUAAUAACUUCUUGAAUCGCUCCCAUGCCUCAUAUAAAGAUUUUUCAUCAAGUUGUUGAAAUGAAGUGAUUUCAUUUCGGGUCU
Molecule: small nucleolar RNA, 106 nt
Filed under: Gossypium hirsutum (cotton)
Lineage: Eukaryota; Viridiplantae; Streptophyta; Magnoliopsida; Malvales; Malvaceae
Description: Plant small nucleolar RNA R71
Rfam family: Plant small nucleolar RNA R71
About the family: R71 is a member of the C/D box family of snoRNAs containing the C (UGAUGA) and D (CUGA) box motifs.
Source: Rfam by way of RNAcentral